AAUGAACGCUGGCGGCAGGCCUAACACAUGCAAGUCGAACGAAACCUUCGGGUUUAGUGGCGGACGGGUGAGUAACGCGUGGGAACAUACCCUUUGGUACGGAAUAGCCUCGGGAAACUGGGAGUAAUACCGUAUGUGCCCUUCGGGGGAAAGAUUUAUCGCCAAAGGAUUGGCCCGCGUUGGAUUAGGUAGUUGGUGGGGUAAUGGCCUACCAAGCCGACGAUCCAUAGCUGGUUUGAGAGGAUGAUCAGCCACACUGGGACUGAGACACGGCCCAGACUCCUACGGGAGGCAGCAGUGGGGAAUCUUAGACAAUGGGCGCAAGCCUGAUCUAGCCAUGCCGCGUGAUCGAUGAAGGCCUUAGGGUUGUAAAGAUCUUUCAGAUGGGAAGAUAAUGACGGUACCAUCAGAAGAAGCCCGGCUAACUCCGUGCCAGCAGCCGCGGU
RNAcentral lists this ribosomal RNA (446 nucleotides) under uncultured bacterium. RNAcentral describes it as "bacterial SSU rRNA". It matches the Rfam family "Bacterial small subunit ribosomal RNA", at positions 29 to 521 of the family's 1533-position model. The record is from RNAcentral.